AUCCUGGCUUAGGAUGAACGCUAGCUACAGGCUUAACACAUGCAAGUCGAGGGGCAGCGAGAGGAAGCUUGCUUCCUGUCGGCGACCGGCGCACGGGUGAGUAACGCGUAUCCAACCUUCCCCAUAGUAGAGGAUAGCCCGGCGAAAGUCGGAUUAAUACUCUAUGUUGUGUCAUGAGGACAUCUGAAUAACACCAAAGAUUUAUCGCUAUGGGAUGGGGAUGCGUCUGAUUAGGUAGUCGGCGGGGUAACGGCCCACCGAGCCGACGAUCAGUAGGGGUUCUGAGAGGAAGGUCCCCCACAUUGGUACUGAGACACGGACCAAACUCCUACGGGAGGCAGCAGUGAGGAAUAUUGGUCAAUGGGCGCGAGCCUGAACCAGCCAAGUAGCGUGCAGGAAUGACUGCCCUAUGGGUUGUAAACUGCUUUUAUGCGGGAAUAAAGUCAGGUACGUGUACCUGUUUGUAUGUACCGCAUGAAUAAGGACCGGCUAAUUCCGUGCCAGCCGCAGC
RNAcentral lists this ribosomal RNA (511 nucleotides) under uncultured bacterium. RNAcentral describes it as "bacterial SSU rRNA". It matches the Rfam family "Bacterial small subunit ribosomal RNA", at positions 16 to 518 of the family's 1533-position model. The record is from RNAcentral.